GGGGUGAUGGACAGAUUAGUCAGGGGGAUCUGGAGGGUGAUGGACAGAUUAGUCAGGGGGAUCUGGAGGUGAUGAACAGAUUAGUCAGGGGAAAUGGAGGGUGAUGAACAGAUUAGUCAGGGGGAUCUAGAGGUGAUGGACAGAUUAGUCAGGGGGAUCUGGAGGUGAUGGACAGAUUAGUCAGGGGAAAUGGAGGGUGAUAGACAUAUUAGUCAAAGUGAUCUGGGGGGUGAUGGACAUGUUAGUCUUCAAACCUCCCCUUGCAAAAAAUGCAUUGAAAGUACAUUGAAAAGCUACUUAAUUAGCCUUCUUAUCGUAACCCCUU
This is a long non-coding RNA of Oncorhynchus tshawytscha (Chinook salmon), 325 nucleotides long. The record is from Ensembl. Lineage: Eukaryota; Metazoa; Chordata; Actinopteri; Salmoniformes; Salmonidae.